AUGAACGCUAGCGGCAGGCUUAAUACAUACAAGUUGAGGGGCAGCAUGAUAUACGCGAGUAUAUUGAUGGCGACCGGCGGACGGGUGAGUAAUAGGUAGGAGACCUACCUCAUACAGGGGGAUAGCAUAGAGAAAUCUGUGGUAAUACCCCAUGAGGUUAUAUGAAUAGAGGCAUAUAAUCAAAGCAUAAGCGAUUAUGCGGUAUGAGAGGGGCCUACUGACCAUUAGCUAGUUGGUGAGGUAAGGGCUCACCAAGGCGAAGAUGGUUAGGGGUUUUGAGAGAGAGACCCCCCACAUUGGAACUGAGAGACGGUCCAGACUCCUACGGGAGGCAGCAGUAGGGAAUAUUGGGCAAUGGGCGAAAGCCUGACCCAGCCAUGCCGCGUGAAGGAAGACGGCCUUAUGGGUUGUAAACUUCUUUACUACGCGAAUAGAGGUUAGUACGAGAUACUAAUAGGAAGGUAGUGUAGUAAAAAGCACCGGCUAACUCCGUG
RNAcentral lists this ribosomal RNA (494 nucleotides) under uncultured bacterium. RNAcentral describes it as "bacterial SSU rRNA". It matches the Rfam family "Bacterial small subunit ribosomal RNA", at positions 30 to 507 of the family's 1533-position model. The record is from RNAcentral.